RNAcentral lists this ribosomal RNA (498 nucleotides) under uncultured bacterium. Its description in RNAcentral is "partial 16S ribosomal RNA". It matches the Rfam family "Bacterial small subunit ribosomal RNA", at positions 899 to 1397 of the family's 1533-position model. The record is from RNAcentral.
ACUCAAAGGAAUAGACGGGGGCCCGCACAAGCGGAGGAGCAUGUGGUUUAAUUCGAUGGUACGCGAGGAACCUUACCUGGGCUUGAAAGACAGACGACCGUCUCUGAAAGGAGAUUUUUCGCAAGAACGUCUGUCUAGGUGCUGCAUGGCUGUCGUCAGCUCGUGCCGUGAGGUGUCGGGUUAAGUCCCAUAACGAGCGCAACCCCUAUCUCUAGUUGCCAUACCUUAACUGGUGGAACUCUAGAGAAACUGCCCGUGUAAACGGUGAGGAAGGAGGGGAUGACGUCAAGUCAGCACGGCCCUUACGUCCAGGGCUACACACGUGCUACAAUGGCCGGUACAGUGGGUCGCUACACAGCAAUGUGAUGCUAAUCUCUAAAACCGGUCCCAGUUCGGAUUGAAGUCUGCAAUUCGACUUCAUGAAGCUGGAUUCGCUAGUAAUCGGAUAUCAGCUACGAUCCGGUGAAUACGUUCCCGGGCCUUGCACACACCGCCCGU